Molecule: long non-coding RNA, 5351 nt
Filed under: Lynx pardinus (Iberian lynx)
Lineage: Eukaryota; Metazoa; Chordata; Mammalia; Carnivora; Felidae
Source: RNAcentral
GCAGGGUUCCACUUCAUUAUCUCCGUGAUCCAACAUGGAUGUGGGGAGGAAGAACGCGGACACUCUCUGAGUGAUUUAACAGGAUGCUUUAAUGAUGUAUUGAAAAUGAACAUUGACCCCAGGUAAGAGGUGCUAAACGGAUACUUUAAAAGCCCACCAUCCAUUUCACUCUGAUGGGCUCUCCUCCUUAAAUCACUGUGUUGUCAUUUUUACGACGCAGACCUAGCUGUGGAGGCUACGGGACUGUGAAAUGUCAUAUAAAAAGCCAAUAAGAAAAAAAUAAAAUUAAGUUGCGGGGAGCGUGCAUUAGCAUUUCAAAAAUGUUCUGUUGCAUUAUGCUACAUUCUUCUCUCUCUGUCAAGGGGCACCAGGAUCCUGUCCUCCCCAUAAAGAGACUAUGCCGCAGAAUGUAUUAGUGCUCCAUUCCUGAAACUGUGUGGCAGCUGAAGGGCAUAGUUACGAUAAUGGCGAAAUACAUUCUGGACUAAAUUUGAUAGGACACUGGGGCCGUCUUCCUCCUCUGAUGAGAAAAUCUUGAUUGCUUCUCUCCUUGUUGGCUCAGGUCCGUAGCUUUCAGAGUUUUGACAAAUUAAUGUUUUCAGCAUUUCUGCCCCGGAGAAAAGUAAGGAAUGAAAUCUGCUGAGGUGAGGGUGUGACUCUUGCACUUGAGGUGACGAUGGGGUCGCCUGGCAUUCUGUGAGGCAAGGGCACCACCACCCCAAACUCCCCUGCCUGGCAGCCCGUAAAAUACCCCAAAUUACCCAAUGCCCAGACUACCUGAAUGGCUGGAUCUGGGAUUGGGUAGGUGUGGCCCGCUGUGCCAUCUGGAAAGUAUGAGUUUAGGAAUGCACCCUCGGCCUGGGUCUUCAGGGAGCCUCUGGAGAAACUGAAACCCUUAGCACUCUGAGGGGUGUCUUAAAUUCUAACUUGGAGUCUGGUUGGUGCUGUUCUGUGAACUGGGCUUUCAGAUCUGAGCUGGGCCAGAUGGAGGGAUGGUGGCUGCAGAGGGAGGAAGCCUUGCCAGUAUUGGCCUCGAAGAGCCCCCUGGUCUCCCGGGUCGUUAUGGGAAUGCGAUUCCUUUCUAGGGCUCGGAAUUUGCCAAACUGGGGAAGAUAAAUCCAGCGCCCCUAACAGUCGAUGACGCUAAGCCAUUGAAACAAUUGCAGUGCUUUAUCUGGAACUUUUCAGAAAGCUGACUUGUUCGUUAGGAGCCAUCCACUUGGUAGAAUUCCACUGUAUUGUUUUCCAGCGCGAUGUGCUGCAGAACGGGUUUGGUCAGCACUUUGGUUUGGGGAAUAUAUUUUCAUUUGAGAAGAUGCUUCUGCUGGGCUUCUUGCAACAUUGCAUUAGGAAGUACUGGACUCUGAGCCCCGCUGAGGGAAGGAGACUGGGGGAUGCCGCCACGGCAUUGCAGGGUGUGGGCAAGCACAGAGUGGUAUGUUUCUUCUUCUUCUUCUUCUUCUUCUUCUUCUUCUUCUUCUUCUUCUCCUUCUCCUUCUCCUUCUCCUUCUCCUCCUCCCCCUCCUCUUCCCCCUCCCCCUCCUUCUUCUUCUUUUUAAAAAUAUAUUCAUCAAGUCCAGCCCAUGAGAACCUGAUCUGAAUUGAAUUUUACCCCUAAUGAGAUGCCAUGUCCCUUCUGUUCUCUCAAAAAGAGACCUUGAGAGUUUGUAUUAGAGAGCGAAAUAAAACUUUUCACUGUUUUCAUGUUUCCUAAUAACAGCCUGAGUCAUAACCUGAAUUUUUAUGCAACUAAUUAUGAGUGCGACUCGGGCAUGAAAGAUUUAUAUGAUCAGAAAAGAAAUUACCUGCGUUAUCUCUGGGCAGGCGGGGGAUGAGUCGAGGAGGUGAGUUAAUCAGUUUUCUAGGUCAUGCCGAAGGCACCUGCACGGUGCUGGCUGGCCGGUCUGUCCUUUCACCAAGCUGAGUGAGGGAAGGACUGGGAGACAUCCUCCUGGGACACUCCCAGAGCUUCCCAUUCCCCCUCCAGCCUGGGAACAACCAGCUUUGGCCAUGGGGCCUCUGCAAUCAGCAUUUUCUCCCAGUAUGACAUUUCUAUCCUCUGCUUCCUAAGACCAACGUGCCCAACUAACCUAACAGUCCCGGGGAAACAAAAUCAAAGCCCAAGAGGGGACUGGCUUAACAGGAAAUGAGAGACACGUACAACAGGGAGACGGUCCGGGAGGUUGAUUCCUAUUAUCUGAAUGGAAGCUGGAAUUCUAUCCGUUGUUUGCUCCUUAAAGUUUCAUUUCAGUUACAGAGACUGAAAAUUAAUUACAGGUCCGUACCUUGAAGCAUGCGACCAAAGGAAUAAGUAUUUGCCAAGAAGCAAUAGCUCUUACAGCCAUCAUGCUCACUAAAUUACCCGCAUAUUGUUUAUCUGUGAAAGGAGCGGCUGGCCCAGCGUGGCGGUAAGGAGUGCAUGAUGGAGAGCCAUUGCGGGGCGAGCGGGAAGUCAUGCGUGUUUAGGGCUGUAAUGCGCAUUUAGUUACACGGCCAUUUGCUGAGGCCCACCACUGAUUAAUAUACACAGGCUUGUUCAUUUACUCAGCAUUACGUUUAAUCAUUUAAUUUUCGUGAGAGUUUUCGGAUCUUUUAAUCAUCCUAAUAUUCUUCUUAUUGCAACAUAUUACUAAGCUGUUAGUUCAAUUCAAUUAAAAAGUGUCAUCUCCAAAAGUAAUUUAUUCCAUGUGCAUCGUUAAGCGGAUACCCCAGAUAUGUCUGCAUUUUAAAGGAAUAAUAACUCUUCCGAUUUAUUAGUCUGCAAACCACUGCGCUGCGUUAGCACUAAAGACGAUGCCGCGAGUGGUCAAUGUCUGUGGGUGCUGGUGGGGUGGUGGCAGAUCUGUGACUGUUUCUCCAGAUUUUGUACUAAGGCUAAGAAGCGAGUAUGAAAGUGUGGGCCAUCUGUUAGUAGUCGGGUGGCCCCCGAAAACCAGUGUGACUUUCUGAUCCUGAUAGUAUUUGUAAUAGCGUGGCCUUGGAGUUCCCCCUUUGGGGACCCCUUGGCAGAAGUUUCUAUCUCCACCGCCUCUUUCUUCAAGCAGGUGCUAAAGGAAGCACCUGCUGUGGGUCUGCUAGGGGAGAGUUUAGUGUCUUCUCUCCUUGUCAGGAUUCUGGACCUUCCUGGUUGACUUUUGAGUUACUUCCUCUGUUCUCUCUGGAGCAGCGCUAUCCAGGAGAAAUGUGAGGCAAGGAAAUGCCAGUGUGAUACAAUGUAAUACAAGCCACAUAUCUGGUUUAAAUUUCCUAAUAGUCACAGAAAGUAAAAAGAAACAGGUGACACUGAUUCUAAUAAUAUACUUUAACUCCACAGAUCCAAAAUAUCAUUUCAGCAUGUAAUCAAUGUAAAAGUCAGUCAAUGAGAUAUUUGUACUUUCUUUUAUUUUUCCAUUGAAGGCGUCCAAAUCUAGUGUGCGCAUCUCACUCCAGAGUAGCCUCAUUUCAGGGGCUCCGUGGCCACACACAGCUACUGGCUACUGCCUUGGACAGGGCAGCUCCAGUACCUUGAAGCCCAGGCCCCGUGCAACCAGGCUGUGGCUUCCCUGAGCCUGUGGCUCCCCUAAACUGAGGACAGAACUGCUUGGGGUCAGGAUUCGCUGGGGGUCUGUCUGCAGAAGUUGGUGAUGUUCCCACAGGGGACAGAUGCUCUCACAGGGGACAGUAGCCACUGAUGACCUCUGAGGCUCAUCUUACCCUGAGGUUGCAGGAACCCAGCAGGCCCAGGAAGGGGUGACUGGUGGGAAGAAACAGCUUCCCCUGACCACAUGAACUUGUCCCUGGGCCUUUGUGUGGCCAAAGGGAAACCCAGGUUUGUGGGUGGAAGGAAGAGAACCACGUUAGGGCUUGUGGACAGGGAAGGAUCCACAUCGACUUUUUAGCCCCUGUGCCCGGCCAAGCAUGAGCCCAGGUGCAUACAAGGGGAGCCCCUCCCAGGGGAGUCCCCCUGCCGAAGGAGCAAGCCUUGUCCUCAGCCUGCUGUGUCCCACAGGAGAGAUUUACCUUCCUUGGGGAACAAAGUCCUCCAUGAUGAUGCCACUUAGGAUAUUAAUGCCUGCGCUUCAAGGCCUAAGGGUUCCUCUUUCUUUGGCAGACUCCUCACGGCCAGGGCGGUGAACAGGUGCUGAUAGAGUGUUGUUUUCGGAGAUGUGCUCUGGACAGGUGGGACGUUACUUGAGUCUUGUGACAGUGGUCAAGUGCCAUUUCCACAUGCUAGAACCUUGAGCAGUUAAUCCCCUGGGUCUGUCCCUUAUAUGAGCCAGCCGAGGAGCCUUGAGAAGUCAGGGACAAAUAGAGAGACGGUGCAACAUCUUAACGCCCUUUCCUGUUCUUGCAGAAUGCUGUGAUUAUUAAUAUCUCUCUCUCAGAAAAGGGCUAUGUGUGCUGUUUUUUUAGGAGAACAGCAAUAAAAAAGGGAAAUUAAAUUAGCAACUCGGUGUGAACCUCUAAUCCAUUAAAGUGUCUUCAGCUCCAUAACCUGUUACCUUAAACUCUGGCUCCCUCCUUAAGUGGUUGCAGGGAAAUAGCAGUAUGCUGCCUGGCCCCAUUUUGUACCCGUUAUGAUAGAAGUGAUUGAAUGUCAGCAAAGCCUGGGCUUCUGUUCCUGGGAGAGAGGGCUCUGCACGGGGUUGGUAUGCUCAGACUGCACGUGACCAAGGAUGCAAAUGCUCCCUGUCGAGACACCCGUGCCCUCACCCCAGCAUGCACACGGAGCUCCGAGAAUUAACCAAACACACAUACCCCCUGUCUCCAAUCCGUACUAAAUAAUGUGAAGAUGAAACUGGCUUUGGAGGAAAACGUCACGAAGAAACUGAACACAGUAACAAGCUCAGGGCACCGAUAAUAGCAGCUAGCGGGUACUGAGUGCCAACAGUGUGCCUCGUUCUAUGCUGUGACGAGGUCCUGCUACAUCAUUUGGGGGCCCAGUGCGAAAUGAAGACGCAGCCCCUUGUUCACAAAAGCACUAAGGAUUCCAAGAUGGUGAUGGCAGGGCAUGAAACCAACGCAGCCCUACCGAGCAGAGAGGCCUGCCUAGGUCACCUGCCCCCGCGGCCGGCCCCGGGCCGUGUGCUGUCUGUAUACGAACUGGCAGUAACCUCUCAACAAACACUACUGCUCUCUCCAUGCUACAGAUGAGCAGACAGAGGCUCAAAGAGGUUCGGAGACUACCAGGACUGACACAGGUUUCAAGGCGGUCUGAAGGGAGGGCUCAGUCAUGACCCAGCACAUGGUGAAGCAGCAGAAACCAGAGAAGGGCAGCAGGCUACCCCAGAAUCAUGCUGUGAGCGCUGAUGUGGUUUCAGGAACACAAUGUCAUUUGUGCCAUUAAAUUAAUGUAGUUAAUUUGAAGUGUA